RNAcentral lists this non-coding RNA (24 nucleotides) under Gossypium hirsutum (cotton). Lineage: Eukaryota; Viridiplantae; Streptophyta; Magnoliopsida; Malvales; Malvaceae. The record is from RNAcentral.
ACUACAAUAUCUAAUCUCACCGCC